RNAcentral lists this long non-coding RNA (3049 nucleotides) under Capsicum annuum. RNAcentral's name for it is "long non-coding RNA (CANN_LNC012166)". Lineage: Eukaryota; Viridiplantae; Streptophyta; Magnoliopsida; Solanales; Solanaceae. The record is from RNAcentral.
UCCCUACCAUGCUGCAAUCAUUUUCAAUCACCCAUUCAUAGUUAGCAUGAUGUCUGAUCGCAUGGAUCACUAAAGCCAUAAUUCACUCUAGCUAUCUGUAGCGGCUUAUAGUUUAAUUGGUUGAAACAUAUUGCUCAUAAUGGCGAUAUGCCUACUAAGCAUCCUGCAGAUCUCAAUCUAGCGUCAUUUGGAACCACACACGCUAUCGAUGCUUAUUACGCUCUUGGAACACCUUAAGCAGUUGCUUGUAUUCGUUGAGUUCUUGUUCAGCUUUUUUCCAGUUCUUGCUUGACACUUUGGAUGCGCUGGUCUUCUUUUCGCUCUGAUUCCAACUAAUUUUGGAUGUCCAAAUAAACCCAUGUCGCCCCAUAGACCCAAGCAAGAUAAUAGGCACCUUUUGUCUACACCAAAGAAAAGGUACAUUGUUACUCUAAAACUAAGAAUCCAGUCACUUGUCAAAGCAUGUUUCACUAAACGUUGUUUGCUAAGCAUUGAAAUUUAAACAUAGCAAAAAUGACAAAUUAAUUCUGAAUACCGUUUUACGAAUGAUGGCAUUUGCAGCUGUUUGUAUUGCCUUCUCCUCAGCAACCGGUGUAUCAUGGUAAGUCUGAAUUACAUAAAAACAGAUAGCAAAUGUUAAUAGUUGGCUUGUCCAAGGGAGACAUUGCAAAUUUGAAAUUAUUUUACAACUUGCUACAAUUUUUAUGAGAAUUGCUUUUCAAGUUCCAGCUUAAAUAAAGAACUAAGUCAUUUACCUGACCAAUUUUGACGAUGGUCUGCCUGAAUUUUGGGUUCGAGGUACUACCUUUAUUCAUACUAUGAGUUAAAGGCCUUGCUAUGGUCUCCACCGUAGCAUCAUAAAGUUUGAUGAGUGCUAGCAUGAUAACAAAAAGAUGAGUGCAAGCAAGACAGUUGUGAAACGGAAUGUGCAAGAAUACUGAACAGUUCAAAAUCCAUAUGAUUAACCCACACAAAUGAACUAAGUAUUGCACUUAAGACAAAACAAUCUUUAUUAACCCAGCAAAUCAUACAUUCAACAAUAAGAACUAUUACCCCUUAAUUCCGAACAAGCUAGGGCUGGCAGUGGAAAUCAUUAACGGCCAUUACACUCCAUUUGGACUCAUUUUAUUUGAAUACACAAUCACUUGUCUAAAAAAAAAUGAAGCAGUUUAUUUUAAACACUAGAAAUUCUCUAAACAAAUUAAAGCUUUUGGCAGACAUCAAAAUAAUGUAAGUGCAUCAAUAUGACAAACCGUAAUUCAAACUUAUAGGAAACCCCUGUCAAGAGUUUUUUGAUUCAUCUUGCCUUAUUCGUUGCUAAGACUACAUGAAUUCCUAGAGAUUGUAGAUUGUUUUGACAACUUAGCUCUGUCUGAUUCAGGUCUAACUUAUCCUUUUUAACAUCUUCAAUCAUCAUAGGUGUAUGGACUAAUAUAUUUGGAGGUCCGCGAACAGAUACAACCCAUCUCAAGGACCUUUUCUUGUUUAGCCUCCAUGUAUUAUGUAUGGACCUGUACCUUUUGCCGAAUAUAAUUAUUUAUAAUCUUGUCUAGUUUUGUGUGACUUGAGUCUGCACAUCUAUCUUUACAUGAAUUGCAUGGAAAUGAUGGGUCUUAGAGGCCCAAGGCUCACUUUUUAAAUUUUAUUUCUGUUCUCGCUACUGUGUCAUAGAACUUAUCUUUCACAAGACAUAUUCCUACCAACACCACUCCAAUAGUACUCUUUCAUUUUAGGUAUCUAACCCUAAGCCUUACAUCAUCACUUAUCAUACAAUUCUCAUGAAUCAUGAAGCAUAUAUAUUCGAAUUAUCCACUCUAACAAAUUAAAACAAAUACAUACGUGUAAAUUACUAGAAAAACGUGUCAAAGGAACUAGUGAAAUCCCGUGGAUCUGUUGCUGGUGGGAGGUGGCAGGUAUCCCGUGGAUUUAGUAGAGGUGUGGGAAAGCUGGUCCGGACACCACGGUUAUCAAAAAAGAAAUGGGAAUCCUGAAAACCGAACAAAUUAUUAGUUAUUAAACUACCAGCAACAGGCUUCAAACUUUGUUUUAGUUGAGAAGAAGACCCUGGGUCAGAAGUUAAGACAACUACAAGGAUUGCACAAGUGCAGCAAUGCAGACAAUCAGAAUAUGUCUUUAGCAUUUUCACAAUUCAAUUAUGCAACUACAACCAUCCUUGGUGCCAAAGAUACCCAUCUAUUAAACAAGCUAUGACCUACCAUUUCUUUCUCCAGUAAAAGACCAGAAAACUAGUGCGCAAGAGUAUUCCAAUCAUGCACUACACGUCUGAAGAUAUUUCUGAAUUCUUAUUCCGCUAUACAACCAAUUACCAAUAUAUAUAUAUAUACGAACAACUCGAAAUGGCUACAACUCAAGCACAUAGGUGGUCCUAUGCAUAGGAAUUGGUUUGAUAUAUCGUCACACUACCAUCAUGGGAAAUUGAACACUAUACAAAUAUUAAGAACUAACCGACUUAAAUUCCAUGGAGGACUAUAACACAUCUAAGGGGAAAAACGAUUUCAUUCUUUUCAAAUAAACGUAAACUGCGCAAACGUUUCAAGUAAUACCAAUAUUCAAGCAUAGAGAGCAUGUUCAUCAAUGAAUUAGAUGUUGCUGAUAUUGUGGAGCAAGCUUCAAUAUAGCAAAAAAAAGAAGAUCAAUGCCACCAGUAGGUAGUCGUCGACUAGGUCAUCAGGCAGGUAGGUACACACAUACAUACAUACACGUUAUAGACAAAAACUUAAUCAUCAGAAUACAAGACAUCAAGUGGCGGCUAUUACUCAACGUUGCACAUUAAAACGGAGACACAAUUGAUGAAAGUCAUAACCAAAAGAUAAAAAGACUUACUAUUCAUGAUGGUGAUAGCGUCUUGUUCCAGAGAUGGAGGAGUAACCUACCAUUCAACAGAAGAUUGUCAAAAAGGGAUUUAGGGUUUGAAAUUCGAAUAACCUACCAUUCAACAGAACAUUGUCAAAAUUUUUUCUAAUCGUUAAGGGUUAAAAAUUAAUUAAGUAUAUUUAUGAUAAAACUUUUUUUCAUUAGAAGUUAUCAU